CCCAAUGAUGCCCGGGUCACUAUCGAGAUGAACCAAUACAGGUACACCGAUGUCCCGAUCACCACCCUCCACCUGUCCCAACUUACCAAAGAGGAUUUGGCCGAAGCCAUCCGACAAUACCAGGAUCGCCGGGAAAGCAACCGCAGACUCGAGGACAUCGAUGAGUCUGAGGACUCCGGGAACAGCCGUCAAUCCCGGGGUUCCGUCUUCGACCGGAUCGGGGACAAAGCAAAGAAAAAGAAACAGAA
Molecule: long non-coding RNA, 248 nt
Filed under: Daucus carota (carrot)
Lineage: Eukaryota; Viridiplantae; Streptophyta; Magnoliopsida; Apiales; Apiaceae
Description: long non-coding RNA (DCAR_LNC004771)
Source: RNAcentral